Molecule: ribosomal RNA, 253 nt
Filed under: uncultured archaeon
Lineage: Archaea
Description: partial 16S ribosomal RNA
Rfam family: Archaeal small subunit ribosomal RNA
Source: RNAcentral
UCCCAGCAGUCCGAGUCGUGGCCACAUUUAUUAGGUCUAAAACAUUCGUAGCUUGCUUUACAAGUUCCUUGUGAAAUGCUAUCGCUCAACGGUAGCGCAUGCAAGGAAUACUGUAUCGCUAGAGACUGGUAGACGUAAGGAGUACGAUUGAGGUAGCGGUAAAAUGUUUUAAUCUCAACCGGACUAACAAUGGCGAAGGCACCUUACGAGGACAGAUCUGACAGUGAGGAAUGAAGGCCAGGGGCGCAAAAUG